Molecule: transfer RNA, 69 nt
Filed under: Cirrothauma murrayi
Lineage: Eukaryota; Metazoa; Mollusca; Cephalopoda; Octopoda; Cirroteuthidae
Description: tRNA-Leu
Source: RNAcentral
AUAAAGUUGGCAGAAUUAUAUGUGGAUGAGUUAGGGUCAUUUUAUAAGAUUAUUGUUUCUUACUUUAUA